Molecule: non-coding RNA, 30 nt
Filed under: Homo sapiens (human)
Lineage: Eukaryota; Metazoa; Chordata; Mammalia; Primates; Hominidae
Source: RNAcentral
UCUGAGCCAGGUGUGGGAUAUAGUCUCGUG